ACGAAUUUACAGAGUAACCAAAAUACAAUAACUUUGAAGAACAAAAACAAUCAGGGAAAUAACCAAAGAGAAAAGCAUCAAUGAAAUGGACUGAAGCAAUAAAACACUGUAGACUGGAAUGAAGCUACUUGAAGAGAAGCACCCAAAGAAGUCAAGACUCGGUGAGACCGGGCAAAAUUGGUCUUUCUUAGUCUUUGCUCUAUUCCCGUUACACAAGAAUGAGCAAAGAGGGGCAGCUGUAAGAGCCAAUUUUUGCCCGGGCCUAUACCAACAAAAUAACCCAAAUAAUAAAAACAAAAAUAGUCCAUUUUCAGCAAAUUUAAACCCAAAAAACUACAAGCCCAAACCCAAUAGGCCCAAAAAUCAGAAACCCUAAGCCCACAAACUUAAAGAUUUUCAGCAAACCCUAGUUGCCUCCCCUAAAACUUGGCACCGCAAGCUUCCAUGCGUGGCCUCCUCGUCUGCCACGCCCUCGCGUCGCCGCACGCCAGCACCCCAUCCACGCGCAUCUGACACUGUUCUGUCACCUGCAAAAGACAACCAACAGAACAACAAAUAGAGAAAACAAAUAGAAAAUGACAAAUGAGGCAGAGAUUAAACGUUUGUAAUCGGCUAUAAAAAGCCGAAUAAGGCAAUUGUACUCUUCUUCUUCCGAUUUUACGAACAAAAAAGAGAAAUAAAAAAACAAAAAAAAUAAAGGUGAUUUUUUAGAUCUGUUGUUUUUAUUUUUUUUAUUUUACUUCAUUUAUUUUUUUUCAAACAAAAACAAAAUAAAGAGGAGGGGGCUUACCGGAUGCCCGUGACCAUCGUCGGAUGGUUGGUCUCCGUCAUCGAGACCAAAUUCGGAGGGAGAGGGCUGUGGGCCUCUAUCUCGGACCUUAUGGGGUUCGAAAGCCCGUCUGCUCAACCCACCAAGAACCAGGCUUUAAAAGCCUUUCGUCGCGCUUCGUUGGCCGUCGUUUUGGUGGCGGUGCGGCGGAUAGACGAACGGUGGUGAGAGGCCGAUCGUCAGAGGGCAUGGGGAGUAUUGAGAGGGUUGCUGCAGUUUUUUAGUG
RNAcentral lists this long non-coding RNA (1055 nucleotides) under Gossypium barbadense (sea-island cotton). Its description in RNAcentral is "long non-coding RNA (GBAR_LNC018991)". Lineage: Eukaryota; Viridiplantae; Streptophyta; Magnoliopsida; Malvales; Malvaceae. The record is from RNAcentral.